GACUUAGAAACCUAUCCAAUGAGGCCACUAGUUACUACAAAUGUGGAUGUGCAUUCUGAACAAUUGACGUACUAAUAAUAAACAAAGUAUAUGCGUGAAAAAAAACCUAGUAGAACCUCAUUAGUGUUGAACAUAUAAAAUAAAAACUACCGUAAGAUCUUUUGCUUCGGAAAUAGUUUGCUUAAACUUAUCUACCGAAUCUAUCAAUCAUUCAGAAAUAUUUUUCUCUCAUAACAAAUCAGCGAAUAAUACUUUUAGCUAUGAUUUUUUCGCCAAGCCAUA
RNAcentral lists this long non-coding RNA (282 nucleotides) under Sorghum bicolor (sorghum). Its description in RNAcentral is "long non-coding RNA (SBIC_LNC015331)". Lineage: Eukaryota; Viridiplantae; Streptophyta; Magnoliopsida; Poales; Poaceae. The record is from RNAcentral.